This 80-nucleotide transfer RNA is filed under the name Anguilla anguilla (European eel). RNAcentral describes it as "tRNA-OTHER". The record is from RNAcentral. Lineage: Eukaryota; Metazoa; Chordata; Actinopteri; Anguilliformes; Anguillidae.
GCACAGUGGUGCAGUUGGUAGCACUGUUGCCUUACAGGAAAAAGGUAAGAAGGUCCCAGGUUCAAAUCCCAGUCUGGACA